This is a long non-coding RNA of Vicia villosa (hairy vetch), 1374 nucleotides long. RefSeq lists it as uncharacterized. Lineage: Eukaryota; Viridiplantae; Streptophyta; Magnoliopsida; Fabales; Fabaceae. The transcript has 5 exons. The record is from RefSeq and is a predicted model, not a curated record.
UUGUGGUUCCUACUAUUACCCUCUUCGAUCUCCCAUAGCUCAAAUACACUAUCAACCUUACGAAUUCAGCUUCACAAUACAAAUCCGCUUCUUUCUUCACCUUCUUCUUUCCCAUAAUUCAUGAACCGUGUUCUUCCGCUGCGAGUUAACUUGAAGCAACUUCAUUCUUCUCUUUGUCUAACUUACAAACCUUUUUCUCUCGGUAGAACCCAACUUCUAUUCAUAAAAAAACCCUAAAACCAAAAUCAAUUGAACUCAGAACUCAAAUUUCCUAAAUAUCUCUUAGAAGCCUAAAAUUGAUUGAACCCAUAUCUCAAAAAUCGGUUAAUUUAUUCUAGAAAUCAAUUGAAACCCUAAAACCAUUAUCCCUGAUUGACAACACUAUUAUAAUAUGGGCUUACAUAUAUUUUCUUACAGGUUUGUUUUAAAUUUACAUACAGGAGAUUUCAGGAUAAAUACGAAAUUGUAGAAUCUGAAGCAGACCCAGAAAGGGAUCCGAGGUCUAUUUUUGCCUACCAGGUUUAUCGAUUGCCUCAAAUUUUUAUUUAUUUUAAAUAAUAUGUAAAAUAUAUAUAUUUAUUGGGUCUGAGUUAUUGGAAUAUUUGUCAAAUUUUUCAUAAUGAUAUCUUCUUUGCUCUUUGGUGGUGUUCACAUAUUGCCUUUAAAAGCAACAUAGAUAGAGAGAGACGCAUAGUUCUUCUCAAAAGCUGACAAGCCUAUAGCUUUAUCAGUUAUCAAAGCUAUAACUACUGAAGUGGACCCCAACAAUGUAUACUCAGUUUUUCACAUUGGAGACAAAAGUUGUGCUACUAGUUUUCUAGCAGAAUGGAAUUUCUUUAUGCACCUCAUUAGUCUACUAGCUUCAAGAUUUUCUUACAUGACGACAAUUGGGAAUCAUGAGAGGGAUUAUGUAAAUUCUGGCUCAGUUUAUCAAACAACUGACUCUGGUGGUGAAUGCAGAGUAUCUUAUGAAACAUACUUUCCAAUGCCAUCUUCUGCAAAGAAUAAGACUUGGUACUCUAUUGAACAAGCAAGUGUUCAUUUUACAGUAAUAUCAGCUGGAACAUGACUGGUCCAUAAAUUCUGAACAGUAUGAACGAAUGAAAAAGGAUAUGGCAUCAGUUAAUAUACAACAUACUCCUCGGCUAAUCUUCACGGGGUCAUAUACACUGGAAAAUGGGAUUCACUUUCUACAAGAGUUGUGUCACCUGAUUUUGAAAUUACGCAUGAAAUGGGAGCUAGACUUUUUUGUAUGCUUAUUGGCACAACUCACUAGAAGGCGGCUAAGAACAUUUCAUAAUUUCUAUUCUUUAUUUGGAUAAAGUACAAUUUUCUUUUGUUCUUUUAAAUUUACUUUUCCUUUAGACUUAGUCA